UACAGAGGUCCCGAGCGUUGUUCGGAUUCACUGGGCGUAAAGGGUGCGUAGGUGGCAUGUUAAGUUUGAUGUGAAAGCUCAGGGCUUAACCCUGAAAUGGCAUUGAAUACUAGCGUGCUGGAGGUUUGGAGGGGGGACUGGAAUUCUCGGUGUAGCAGUGAAAUGCGUAGAUAUCAAGAGGAACACCUGAGGUGAAGACGGGUUGCUGGGCCAACACUGACGCUGAGGCGCGAAAGCCAGGGGAGCAAACGGG
This 253-nucleotide ribosomal RNA is filed under the name uncultured bacterium. RNAcentral describes it as "partial 16S ribosomal RNA". It matches the Rfam family "Bacterial small subunit ribosomal RNA", at positions 524 to 776 of the family's 1533-position model. The record is from RNAcentral.